CAGCCGCCACGGGAAUACGUAGGGGGCUAGCGUUAUCCGGAUUUACUGGGCGUAAAGGGUGCGUAGGUGGUCCUUCGAGUCGGUGGUUAAAGGCUACGGCUCAACCGUAGUAAGCCGCCGAAACUGGAGGACUUGAGUGCAGGAGAGGAAAGUGGAAUUCCCAGUGUAGCGGUGAAAUGCGUAGAUAUUGGGAGGAACACCAGUAGCGAAGGCGGCUUUCUGGACUGCAACUGACACUGAGGCACGAAAGCGUGGGGAGCAAACGGAUUAGAUACCCCAGUAGUCCCUGUCUCUUAUACAC
This 301-nucleotide ribosomal RNA is filed under the name uncultured bacterium. RNAcentral's name for it is "partial 16S ribosomal RNA". It matches the Rfam family "Bacterial small subunit ribosomal RNA", at positions 509 to 809 of the family's 1533-position model. The record is from RNAcentral.